Long non-coding RNA from Oreochromis niloticus (Nile tilapia), 1743 nucleotides. Lineage: Eukaryota; Metazoa; Chordata; Actinopteri; Cichliformes; Cichlidae. The record is from Ensembl.
AUGUUGUCACCAACAUCUACUACGAUCUUCUUCACAGACUUGAGGAAGACAGACUCUUGGAUCCAACAAACUGUACUGACCUUUUUUGUGCACAGUAUGUGUUUUUGCCACGAAUCCAAGCAGAUUUGGAGACGUUUAUUGAAGGCUGGAACAAUCACUCUCUUAGGACAGAGCGGAACUACACCCCAAACCAACUAUGGGAGAUUGGAAAGACUCAGAAUCCAGUCAAUCCUCCUGAAAGUAUUGUGGCAGAGUAUCCAGAUGUGGACAUUGCAGACUUGGACCAAACUGGUAUUCACCUUCCAGAACUUGUGUCUCCACUUGACAGUGAGGAUUUGGAAAGAGUGAGACACCUUUUCAAUCCCAUGGAACCCUCUAUGUCCUAUGGGGCUAACAUUUACAGUUCCCUUGUCCAGUAUGUGGAAGGCAUUCUUGAGAACAGGCAGGAUUUAUAGCUUUAUCUAGAGUGAUGGUUGAAAAUAAGAUGCCCUAACAGAUGUUUACAUUAUGUUGAAUUAUCAGUUUUUGUAUCCAAGGACAGUUACUAAAAGUCUGCAUCAAUAUUUAUUUUCAGUUUUUAAUGUUAAUACAUUUUGUGUUAGAUGAGUUUACAGUUAUAUUUUCCUGAUAAUCUGUCAGUUAAUGCAAAGGUAACAUGAUAAAUGCUUUCUGUUCUCAUGUAAGUCCUUUGUUUAAUAAUAGCUUCAAUAAAAUUUUGUUUAGGUGCCAUCAUGCCUAUUCUUGCUGAUUUCUAUUUUUAUUUAAUUGUAAAGGCAAUAUUCAAUGAAUCAACUUUAUUUACAGUCUGACAAGAAUUUUUUUCUUAACUUUGAUGGAGUGGCGACCAGUCUAGAAUGUAACUUGUCCUAUAACUGCUGCUCCAAAUCCAUGUCCUUGACAACUUCUGGAUUUUAAUUUGGGGUGUUCAAGCAUAUUUCCUUUGAUUUACAAAAUGAUUUCAAACAACCUCAAAAAUAAUCAGGAAAGUUAUCAUCCAAUUUUCAUAGCUCAAAACUUGACUUUAUUGAUAACAGCUUGAAAGUGACAAAAACCUCUCAUGACUGUAGAACUGUAAUGUUUUGAUGUGUGUUAGCUGUCCUGCAUGCAGUAAUUAAAUAGCUUGACCACAGCUGACAGUGUGGCAGAUUUUUAUUAUCAUUAUAUUCAACAGCAUUGGACUGUGUGUAACAUUUAAUACAGCUUUAGUAUUAAUCUACUUUUUUCACCUCUUGUAAUCCAUGAAACUGCUUCAAACAAAGAGAUGAUGUGAAUCGGAUGCAUGAUAAUGACUUUAAGUUAACAAAACAACCCUAAACACAAUCAUUAGUUCCUUAACUUCAAAUAUACACUGUUAGACUUUUCAUCUCCACUUUACGGUAACAUACUGGCGUCACUGUUGCCAGCGUCAUACCGUGACGCCGUAUUACUGUAGCUUACCGUUGUGCAGGAUGAUACCGUUUUUUGCUGUUGUGGUAUAAUACUCUUGGACAAAUUAUGGUAACGCACUGUAGCUUUUUUUAUGUCGUUAUGUCGUAAAUUACGUCAACAAAGUAACAUCAUACUGUGAUUAAGAAAUUGGUAUACUACCGUUUAUUCACGGUAUGUCACUGUAAGCCCGCUACAAGGUAAUAAACUGCAAUAUAUUUACCAUUAACUUACCGUUAUCACGCAUCAUCAGUACCAAAAAUAUUAAUCUCUGCUAGAGGAUACCGUGUUCCUACAGGCGGUCAUUUACUGUUUAAC